Molecule: ribosomal RNA, 253 nt
Filed under: uncultured bacterium
Lineage: Bacteria
Description: partial 16S ribosomal RNA
Rfam family: Bacterial small subunit ribosomal RNA
Source: RNAcentral
UACAGAGGGGGCAAGCGUUGUUCGGAAUUACUGGGCGUAAAGAGCGCGUAGGCGGCCUGCUAAGUCGAACGUGAAAUCCCCGAGCUCAACUCGGGAACUGCGUCCGAUACUGACAGGCUUGAAUCCGGGAGAGGGAUGCGGAAUUCCAGGUGUAGCGGUGAAAUGCGUAGAUAUCUGGAGGAACACCGGUGGCGAAGGCGGCAUCCUGGACCGGCAUUGACGCUGAGGCGCGAAAGCUAGGGGAGCAAACGGG